Molecule: ribosomal RNA, 424 nt
Filed under: uncultured prokaryote
Description: bacterial SSU rRNA
Rfam family: Bacterial small subunit ribosomal RNA
Source: RNAcentral
UGGGGAAUAUUGGACAAUGGGGGCAACCCUGAUCCAGCCAUGCCGCGUGAGUGAUGAAGGCCUUAGGGUUGUAAAGCUCUUUCGCCGGUGAAGAUAAUGACGGUAACCGGUAAAGAAGCCCCGGCUAACUUCGUGCCAGCAGCCGCGGUAAUACGAAGGGGGCUAGCGUUGUUCGGACUUACUGGGCGUAAAGCGCACGCAGGUGGUAACGCAAGUGGGGUGUGAAAGCCGCCACCUCAACUGGCGGAGGCCAUCCCAAUCUGCGUCACUUGAGGUCUGUAGAGGUAUGUGGAAUUGCCGGUGUAGUGGUGAAAUGCGUAGAGAUCGGCAGGAACACCGAGGGGGAAAUCAGCAUACUGGACAGGUCCUGACACUCAGGUGCGACAGCGUGGGGAGCGAACCGGAUUAGAUACCCGCGUAGUCC